CUCGGUUCACUGGUUUGUUUGAGUUCAUCGUACGGUUUUCGCGAUGAUCUUCUGAUGUUCGACGAACCAGGACGAGGAAAUAUGUUGCAGUGAAGGCUGAUUCGUGGCCUCGUUCGAGAAAAUCUUCAGGUGAUUGCACGGCUAUAAACCCAGUACCCGAGAUGAAUUAGAAAUUAUACAACGGGAAAGCAAGUCCGUUCUAUAUGAAGAAUGAAAUUUUUUCUGAAAUUUCUUGAGGAAGCGUGGAAAUAUAUCUGCUUGAGGAUUUCUUGUUCGAUUUUGAAAAUGAUGAAUGCACUAGAAACUGCAGAGAAAUGUAGUUCCUUUGUUGUUGAUUAAAAAGCCUGUCUGACUAGAUACUCUCUGUUUUCCCUGUACUUCUCUGUCUCUUAUUUUUCCUUUCCUAUAUUUCCUUUUUCCUUUUUGGGUUUCUCUUACUCGAAUCGAUAGCAUUUUAUUCUAUUUUUUGGGAAUAUUUCACAGGUCAUUUAUAUUGAUUUAUUUAAACCUUUCAAGGAUAUCUACCUCGUAUCAAAUGAAAAUUAAGUUCCAUAAAACACAGGAGUAUCUCCCAUUAACAUUGCCAGCAAACAAGAAACUGUUGACCGCGUUCGAUAUUAAAUCCCGCAGAAGAGUUGAAUUAAUUCAAUUAAAAGAAUAAUUUUCGAGUUCGCUGAAUUGAACGAGCGCUCGUUAUCAAAAGCCGUUUCCUCCGUAUCAAUUCAAUUGAUAUCCCGCUAUGUUCUCUCAUCGUGAAUGCGCUUCAUUUUUAUUUUUUUUUUUAUUUUUUUUUAUUUCCCCUCUUGAUAUUUGACUCUCUUGGAUUCCUCUCCAGAUACAUACCGACAUCUUCAAUUAUUUCGCCAAUUUGCAAGUUGUCGGCGAAUGCUGUCCGAUUCGUUUGCCUCGUUAAAGAAAGAGGCAAACGUUGUCGGAGUCCAAAGAGUAUAUGUACACGGGUAUGGGUUCGAGCACACACAAUAGAGAUUGCUAUCCUCGAUAUCUUGGUCUCACCAAGUCACCACGCUUCUACACUUCAUUCGUUCCAAAUGCGACCACGACAAAUUUUACCUACGGGUAAACAGACGUUGAUGUAAUCGGAAUUCUUUCUUUUCAUUUUGGCCCUUCAGUUUCGGAGUUCAGAAGAAAAUUGAAAAACUUGCGAAAUUGCAGAGGACGAGUUAUGCUAUGAAAUGCUAAGAAAUUUCAGACAAUCAGUCGAUAGGAAUAGAGAGAAAAAAAGGGGUGCGUUUACCCCGUGGCAAUCGUUGCGGUGCACGCUUCUUUCCGUUUAAAGUGAUAUAGAUACCACGUGUAGUACAAUACCCAGCAGAGGAAUUAUUGCCAGGGAUAAUGUUGUGUUCCUGACACGUUUUAUCACGCCACGUUGCUACGUCGUAACUUGAAAUUGAUUAACCCUUAACUCGUUGCGUAGCCGUCACCGAGAGCCAGAUCAAUACGAGCCACUCGUCUUCUCGUCCGUUUCAAAGAACAAAGUGUCUUCUUUUAAGCAAGAAACAGUUGGUUCGUCUCUCCUUUUCAUCGUGACGAAAUAAGAAGCUCGUUCCGUAAUAGUCGUGAUUUUCAUCGAGUCCUUUCCUGGACAAUGUCCUCUAUACUUUUCUUUUUAGAAGUCCAAUUGUUCUUUGAUAUCGAGGGGAAAUCAAUUGUGUCACGGACAAUGCUUUUUUCAAUUCGAGUAAAAAUUCAAUAAGUCCAAGAUUUAAGUCAGAAAUAUCAAACAGGAGCAAAACCAUCCCCUGUAAUCUUCGAUCAAUGACUUGGAGGAUCACCGGUACAAAUUCAUCUCGAAAUAUUCAGAUGGUAUAGCAGCCAUAAAAAUGUUUUCUCCCCAUUGAAAAUCUUAUCACGUUAUCCGAUGGCAUUUGUGAAAGGCGGAGCCCCGCUUCGAAGCCCCGUGAACAAGCUUGAAACGAUCGAGUGUGUCGCAGUGAGAGGGGAAAAAUCGCGUAGUAAUUACGAGAACGAAUGGAUCUCAUCGGUCUCUCGUACGAUCAACACCCCCUCGAAUGAAAGGUGGAUCAAAGGGAAUCGGAAGUUACGACUGUGACCUCUGGUUGCUUGGUAAACUGUGACAAUUUGUAAUGUCGUUUGUUCCAAACACCUUUUCAAAAAUAAGGUCUCUCGUAUCAGUUUAGAUAUAGUUAGCACACUUGUAAACUUGUAAAUGGGAAACAACAGCAAGUUUAAUAAUUCCAUUACCCGUGUAAUUCGAUAUUCUUCUCUUUCCCAAUUGAUUUAACGGUGUAAUAACUGGAUACACCGGUACAAGUUCCGUCUCUGUGUGUGUGUGUGUGUCUGUCACGAUUCCAGCAUUGUAUACACAGGCUAAAUAUUGCAGUCGGUUCUAAUUGUUUCUCCUACUAAUUGUUAGGACGUUUCCUGCGAUUUCUCGUCCCAUGUUUUGCCUGUUAAUGUCAACAUUUCGGGAUAAAGUUAUUGUUGAACUUUCUGGGAAAUUCUGGUAUUAACAGUUCCUUACCAGUGUUUAGAAGAAAAUCAUCUGAAUCGUGAAAGCUCCAAGACAGCAGACACGUAUGAAAAAUGUCGAGCUCUUGGCUAUUAAUUUUCAUUUUUGAAAAAGUUUAAAAAUAACCCCGUACCGAAUAGGAUUACUCCCUUAAAGUAAACGAAUGUUUAUCAUUUCUUUUCUUAUUUCCCGUUUUUUUUCAUGAAGGUAAAUGGUGUAUCCUGAUAAAUAAUUCGUCGCCCUUUUAAUGCCACAUUUAUCCUUUCUUCCCCUGUGUAAACGGCAGGCCGAAGGAAAGGAGGAUCGAGCCCUCGUUGUCACCGUAAUUCCACAUCAGGAUCAGAUGUUUCCUCGUGUAUUUUCAGUCGUCGCUUUUCACCGACCCUUUCCACUGUCUAGCUAAUGCAAUUUUAACGAGGCACAAAGUCGGUCAUAUCGUGUCAUGACUCGAUGCUUGAUGGCUCGUGCAACGGUACGAGCUAGUAUCCCCUUUGAACAGCACAACCAACGCUCGAUAUUUUCUACCCCUAGCUACUUCGACAUGGAUCGAUUCUCUCAACUUCCGGUCGGGAAAAUCGACACUUUCGAUUACUGGCCACAGACGUCAGUUCCUGUCCUCCUGUCUCGCAUACUUCCCUUGUACCUGAUGAUCGACGUUCACGUUUCCCCGAGGAUAUACAUUUUUAAUUGCAAAUUAUUGGUACAAAAAUAAAAUAGGACUGGAAAUUAUAGUCGAGCGUCGAACGUUAUUUCUGUAGCCAGGGGUUGUUUUUAGCAAAUAGUUCUCAAAACUUUCGGCGUAACCAAAGUAGAUUUACGAUCUUUGGCAUGGCAAUGAGCGAUUAAGUGGUCGCGGUAUUUUUUCCUCCUACGAUUACAGGAAUUAAUUUAUGUGAACGGUGACUCAUGCUAAUCAUUAUUGCCAAGACCCUUUUAUUACGUAAUCAUCAAUUGUUCUCGAGUUUCUAAGGGUUCUCGUAAACGACACCCGCAUAAACUGUUUCAUUCAAAGUACUUGCGUAAUCGGGCUACCAUUCUGCACAACAGGGACGGCUGUUGUGUAAGUUCAUUUAUUUUAUUCAUCGAACACUCUGGACUGUUACGAAAAACGAAUACUUUAAGAAUUCUUAU
Molecule: long non-coding RNA, 3622 nt
Organism: Osmia lignaria (orchard mason bee)
Lineage: Eukaryota; Metazoa; Arthropoda; Insecta; Hymenoptera; Megachilidae
Source: RefSeq, a predicted model, not a curated record